Loxodonta africana (African savanna elephant) is the source of this 5599-nucleotide long non-coding RNA. RefSeq lists it as uncharacterized. The transcript has 3 exons. The record is from RefSeq and is a predicted model, not a curated record. Lineage: Eukaryota; Metazoa; Chordata; Mammalia; Proboscidea; Elephantidae.
ACCACUCAGCAGAUUCCAUCAUGGGGGUGAUCACAUAUCAGAUUUCAACAGGGAAGUGAUCACAACAUUAUACAAAUGCCAUAUCAUGGGAAUCAUGGCCCAGCCAAGUUGACAAACAAUCUUAACCAUCACACAUACAAAGUAAUGUUCUCCGUCUGCUGUAGAAUUGAUCUUUCAAAAAAACCAAACCCAUUGCUGUCAAGCUGAUUCUGACUCAUAGCAACCGUGUAGGACAGAGCAGAACUGCCCCGUAUGGUUUCCUAGGCUGUAAGUCUUCGAGGAAGUGGACUGCCACAUCUUUCUUCCAAGGAGCAGUUGGUGGGUUCCAACUACUGACUUUUCAGUUAGCUGAGGGCUUAACUGCUGCACUGCCAGGGCUCUUCUGGAAUUAAACUAGAAAUCAAUAAUUGACAGAUAGCAAGAAAAUCCCCAGAAUAAGGAAGCAGUUAUUUACAGUAAGUGCAACAAGCCUACAACCUUUAUAGGAAUUUCAAAGUUUUAACAAACAUGUUUAUGUGCCAUGAACUAUGCUAAACACUUUACAUAUAUUCACUUAGUCUCCCUAACAAUCUUAUGUGGUACAGACUGUUAGUAUUCCAUUUUACAAAUAAGGAAAUUGAGGCAUAAGGAGGUUAAGAAACUUGCCCAAGGUCACACAUCCAGUAAGUCGCAGAGCCAAAGUAGAAUCCAGGGACUGUAACAAUGUGCAGUGUGCCAUGUGAUCUUUAACAUUGUUUCUGCCUUUCACUUUAGCACAGACUUGCUCCUUAUCGCUGAUGGUCAAGGUAAUUGGGCUGCCAAGUAAGCAGAGCUCCAACUGAGGCAAAUCUAUUCAUGGGUUUGUUUCUCUGGGGCAGAAAGUAGAGGAUCUAGGCCCAGACAAGUCCCGCAUCCCCCAUAUGGGUUUACCACCUUCUGCUGGAAAAGGCAUUACCGGCGCCCUUGACCUUAAAGCCCUUGCACGCCUUCAUCAGAUGGGUGCGGUUCUAAAAUGACCAGCAGGGGGCGCCAGUUCGCCUCCUUUGGGUUCACUUCUGCAAACAGGGCUGUGACAGCUGCAGUCUGGGGAGCUGUCAGCUCGGUUCAGCAGCGUUGUCUGCUUCCUUCCUCUUUAUCAGAUCUGUCAGGGCUGUUGCGUGUUGUCUUCACCUCCGGCCUCCUUCCCUCCUUCCUGUGUCGAACGGACGUUCUCUGACGCAGCCCCUAAUCUACACCUCCGCGCCUCCUGCCUGGGCAGAAGCAGGGCCAGGUCCCCCUUUCCCGCCCCCACUCGUACCCUUUUGGCGGGCGGGAUCCUGCUUUGAGGUCAGGUCGCCCCAGGGCUUUGGCUUCACUUCCAUCCGACGAUGCAGAGCCCAGCAUGCGCUGGGCUCUUGCAGGUCUUUAGCACUUCUGCAAACCCUGGCGUUGAAAAAGGCAGCUGGAGGAAGCGCUUCGGAAGCAAAACUAACAGGAGAUGGAUGUACCUCAAUUUCUGCAAGUGUACCCUCUCUCUGAUUUCCUCAGCCAAAUUAUAAGAUGAGAAGACAAAGGCCUGGAAAUUACUGUCCAAAUCAACGCUGGCUGCCUCUGGGAGGGGUAUACAGUUAGGGGGUGGGUGGCCAAGGAACUCUUAGCUUUAUUUGCAAUAUUUUAACUUUUUAUAACUGUGAUGUACUCAUGUUUUACUUUUGUAUUGAAAUAAAUUUUAAUGUAUAUGUAUGUAAAUAAAGUACAAUUAAUAGUAGUCUCCAUUUACUGAACUCUUACUCAGUAACAUGCUGUGAGGACUAUGAUUAUGCCCAUUUUACAGAUGAGGAAACUGAGGCACAGAGAGGGGAAGUGACUGGCUCAGGGUCAUGCAGCCAGUGAAAGCUAAAACAGAGUCUGAACUCAGGUAUGGUUGACUUCACUGGGGGUUGUUGUUGUUAUUGCUGUCAAGUGAGUUCUGACUCAUGGCAGCCUUGCGUAUAACAGAACGAAACCUUGCCUGGCCUUGUGCCAUCUUGUUUGAGUCCAUUGUUGUACUAUUGUGUCAAUCCAUCUCAUUGAGAGUUUCCCUCUUUUUCGCUGAUCCCUGCUUUACCAAACGUGACUUCCUUUUCCAGCGAUUGGCCUUUCCUGAUGGCGUGUCAAAACAAAGCAAGCCAAAAUCUCACCACCUUCUCUUCAAAGGAGCAUUCUGGUUGUAAGUUUUCUAAGAUAGCUUUGGUAAUUCUUCUGGAAUUCCAUGGUAUAUUCAAUAUUCUUCGCCAACACCAUAAUGCAAAGGCAUCAAUUCUUCUUCAGCCUUCCUGACUCAUAGUCCAACUUUCGCAUGCAUAUGAGGUGAUUGAAAAGACCCUGGCUUGGGUCAGGCUCACCUUAGUCAUCAAACUGACACCUUUCUUUUUAAAACCUUAAAGAGGUCUUUUGCAGCAGAUUUCUCCAAUGCAGCUGAGGAUUACUAGUCCCCAAAUGGACAUUGGCAACAGCGGAUCCUGGGCAAGGCAGGAGAAGGCAGUCAGAGCAGCCUUGUGACACAAGGGGAGAGAUAGCCCACAGCGUGGUUACCAGGAAGUGAUGACAUCAUGUUGAGGAACAAAGGGUUUGGAGUCAGAAAGACCCUAGCAGUGCCACUUCUGGCUGUCUGACCUUGGGCAAGCUUCUUUGCCUCUCUGGGCCUCGGUUUCCUCAUUUGCAAAAAGGAGGGAGAAACCACCUACCUUACAGGCUUGUGUGGAUUGAGCAUGUAAUAGACAUAAGAACACCUGGUAAACUGUGAAGUGCUGUUUAUUUGUACCUGAAACUAGCGUUUAUUAUGCACCCCUUCACGAGGGGCUGGGGAUAGAGCAGCAAACACAACAGACAGGAUCCCGGUCCCCUGGAUGUUGCUUUUGAGUGGCUGAAGCCAGUCAACCAGCAAACCAGUAAGAUACUUCAGAGCGUGGUGAGUGCAACGAAGGCCAUGACACAGGACGAUGGGAUGGUGCCAGCCUUGGAGGCUGCGGGGCUUGAGCCAGGGUGACCAGCACAGGCCUCUAGAGGAGGUGACCUCUGAACAGAGGCCAAAUGGUGGGAGAUCAGUGGAAGCUUGUGUGUUGCUAUGUUGCUGAACAGGUUUCAGCAGAGCUUUCAACUAAAGUGGACUAGAAAGAAAGGCCUGGUGAUCUACUUCUGAAAAUCAGCCAGUGUAAACCCCUUGGACCACAAUGGUCCAAUCCGCAGCCAGUCACGGGAUGGCACAGCACUGGGUGGUUCUCUUAUGCAUGGAGCUGCCACGAGUCACAAGUCGACUUGACAGCAGCUGACAACAACAACACAUCACGUUAAAUGCAUUUCCUUGUUUGUCCCACCUGACUCGUUUUGGGUUAGGAGCUUGAUGGGCACGACUCUACAUAUCUAGUACUAGCACCAAGCUCUAGAGAAGUUCACUAUUGUUGUUACGUGCCAUCAAGUCGUCUCCAACUCAUAGAGACCCUGUGCACAACAGAACAAACCUCUGCCCAGCCCUGUGCAAUCCUCACAGCCGAUGCUGUUUGAGCCCAUUUUUGUAGUCACUGUGUCAAUCUAUCUCUUUGAGGGUUUUCCUCUCUUUUGCUGACCCUCUACUGUACCAAGUAUGAUGUCCUUCUCCAGGGACUGAUCCCUCCUGAUAACAGGUCCAAAGUACUUGAGAUAAAGUCUUGCCAUCCUAGCUUCUAAGGAGCAUUCUGGAUGCGCUUGUUCCAAGACAGAUUUAUUUGUCUUCUGGCAGUCCACGGGAUAUUCAAUACUCUUCACCAACACCAUGAUUCAAAGGCGUCAAUUCUUCUGUCACUCAGACGUUCACUGAGGCACCUGCAACGUGCCAGACCUCCUAAGGGCUUUGUGUGCAUUGCCUAGAUUAAUUUUCCCAACAACCCUGAGAAGUAGAUACUAUGAUUCCCAUUUGCCAUCUGGAGGAUCUGAGGUUCAGAGGUGGAGGGGGUGCCCAGUGCCAUCUGCUGUGAGUGGCAGAGCUGGGACUUGAACUUAGCUUCUCUGGCUGAGUGAAGGUCAUGCUUAUUAACCACAGGAGCACAGAGCCUCGCUCAGCACAUCCAGGCGGUGGGAUGGGAUUGCAUGAGACGUCCUCACUGGGAACACUUUCAGUUCAGCUUCUGGAAGCCUGUCCAAGCCCCUCCGUCAGCCCCUUGCAGAUGAGGAGGCUGUUCCCAUGGCCGCUUCUCCAUUCUGGAAUGACCACAAAGCAGGCGGGGAUAGCAGGUCUGACCACAAAUAGACAGAUGUUUCCACAUGUGGAAGUUGAGUUUGAGUUUUGGUGCAGUUUUCGUGGUUCCCUUUUCACUCUUUUGGGUCAUGGUCAAGUAGCUCUGAUGUGUCUCCAUCUCUACUGCUCACUGUGUUUACCAGCACCGCCACCAGUUGCCAUGGAGUUGACUCCGACUCAUGCCGACCCCGUGUGUAUCAAGAGUAAAGUUGUGUCCCAUUGGAUUUUUAAUGGCUGAUUUUUUGGAAGUAGGUGGCCAGGCUCCUCUUCUGAAGUGCCUCUAAAAAAAAAAAAAAAAAAAAGGUGGACUCAAGUCUCCAACCUUUUGAUUAGCAGCUGAGAGCAUUAACAGUUUGCACUAUCCAGAGACUCCAUCACAAUCUUUAGACUGUUCUUAAUCACUCCUCCCACCCCUUUUUAGCAGAGUACUGUAUGGUCUGCAUCACGCUUUUACAUGUACUAGCUCAGUGAAUCUUCCCAGCAACCCUGGGACGUGGGCCCAUUUAAUAGACUGAAGCUCAGAGAAGCUAAUUGACAGCAACAAUAAUUAGCUGCUUUUUACUGAGCUCUUAGCAUGUGUCAAACAUGACACUAAACCAUUUUGCACAUUGUAUCUCAUUUAAUCUUCAUAACCACCCUGUGAGGUAGAUAUUAUCCCUCUUUGGACAAAACUGCCCCAUAGGGUUUCCAAGGAGUUCCUGGUGAAUUUGAACCGCCAGCCUUUUGGUUAGCAGCCCUCGCUCUUAACCACUGCACCACUGGAGUUUCCAUCCCUAUUUUAGAGGUAGAGAACUUAAGCUCAGAGAGCACAAUGGACUUGUCCAAGGUCACAGAGUGACAAAUCCAGACCUAGAACCCAGGUCUCUUGACUCCUGGUCCAGUGCUCUAACCAACUCUUAGAACACCUGCAAAACAUCUGUACUAUAGUUCAACGCAGCUCUGAUACCAUUGGCUAUAAGACACAUCACUCUUGUAUGUACCACUAGCGAAGAAAAAAUGCUGUCAAUUAAACUAAGACACAAUACUUUCUUAUCAUUUAGAAUUUUAAUUUUGUACUUAUUCAAAGAGCACUUUUAAACUUAAUUAAAUGCAGAUUUUAAUAUUCAUCACUCUGUGCAUACACAAAAGAAUGGUUAAGACUUUUCCACAUUCAAAAAUCUGACUGACUCAGAAUGGCCAAUGUCCAUGUUUUUCCUCACAAUAUUGUCCUUUGCGCCAGCAAGUGUUGGUGACAUAGAUUUCUCUCUUUCUCUUUUUAAAAACAUUUUAUUGAAGUAUAACUUACAUGAAAUAAAGUGUACAAGUCAUAAAUAUACUUAGUGAGUUUUUUACCCAUGUAACCCAACCCAACCCAUUGCCCUCAAGUCAAUUCCAACUCAUAGCGACACU